Molecule: non-coding RNA, 105 nt
Filed under: Lachnospiraceae bacterium
Lineage: Bacteria; Bacillati; Bacillota; Clostridia; Lachnospirales; Lachnospiraceae
Description: TPP sequence
Rfam family: TPP riboswitch aptamer (THI element)
About the family: Vitamin B(1) in its active form thiamin pyrophosphate (TPP) is an essential coenzyme that is synthesised by coupling of pyrimidine and thiazole moieties in bacteria. The previously detected thiamin-regulatory element, thi box was extended, resulting in a new, highly conserved RNA secondary structure, the THI element, which is widely distributed in eubacteria and also occurs in some archaea.
Source: Rfam by way of RNAcentral
CAUUCAUACCAGGGGAGCGGAAUCGCUGAGAGGAAGACGACCAAGUCUUCGACCCUUUGAACCUGUCGGAUAAUGCCGACGUAGGAAGUGUCUUUAAGGCCUGCG